GCGGAGGUUGACAAUGGUUUUCGAGGGGUGUCAAUUUCAACUGUUAUCCUCCCAAACAGGCACUAUUUAUUUUGUUAUACUGAAUGUCUUUUUUAAAAUUUUUAAGAAAAUUUUACUGCUUUUAUAUAGGAAUAACGUGAAUUCUACAGCGAACCGUACGCGCAUAAUUUUCGCGCAUGUAACAUUUUUUAAUGUUACCCGUUGCCAAGUGCGUUGCUAACGCUGAGGGUAAUAGUAAAUAUUAUUAACUGCGUCUUAACCAAUCAGAUUUCAGUAUUUAACAUGAAAGUAUAACAAUAACAAUUGUUAGUUGAUAAUACGUCGUCAAUAUACCUGAAUGUUGAGUUGUAGGCCACAGCGAGUGAUUUAUUUUUUUCACGUACAAGGUUUUAAUCAAUUCUGCUUCACAAGAAUACAAAAAUAGGUCUGCUAACAAUGGGGCACAAUUGUUACCCAUGGGAAUUCCAACAGAUUGUUGGAAGACUUGAUUUCCGAAAACUACAUAGAAGUUAUUCACUAGUGUUAACAAAUUAUCAUACUUUUAAAAAAAAUUCAAAUACAGAAUUUGCGAUCUGUACAUAUUUUCUGCAAGUGCAUUAAGUGCCUCAAUAAUAAAGAUUCAUGACGCACUUUGAAUUUUUUUUUUUUAAAUUACGCUUAGUUGGUCCAAAAUUUAACACACUUUGAUAAAGUUUCCUAGGUGUGUUGAUUUGGUCCUAAAUUCAAAAACAAAUAUCAAAGUGCGAAAAUUUUUUUCUAAGUGCGUUGCCACAAUUACUUUAAUGGUGAAAUGGAAGAUGAUAAACGAAUUACUCCUCCCUUGCAAGACAAACCGCCGCGACAGAUUGAAAUUUUCAAUUAUACAGUUUUUAAAGUCUCCUAAACACACGUGUUUAUAAUGUAUCCCAAGCGCUUAAUAGUAUUUACAUUUGCGCAACUCAUCUUAAGCAAAACAGUUUUAUUAUUCAACUUUUUGUUUGUUGUUUUAAAAGCAAAUCACAGGAAACGUGUUUACGUCCUUUAUAGUCAUUAUCAAAUCUAACGAUGUCAGUGAGUUUUCAGUGAAAAUAUUGUACAUGCUACACAUAAAACGUUAACGGAGACUAACGGCCUCUAUCAGCAAAAUAAAAUAGCAGGUUGUCAGUUAUGAUAUACAAAGGCAAAUGCAAUUCAAAUUUAUCAUGGUGCCGUCAUUUUUUUUUUAUUCAUGUCAAAAGAACCCGACUGCUCGUCAAAAUAUAUAUAGCGUUACUUCGUACAAUAUAUGUUUUUUAAAGUUCAUUAUACUAAACUCUUAUACUAAUUCAUAUGUAUAUAGCAGAUUGUCGUUAACAAUAAAAGUACAUGAGUAAAGGCUGAUUUCAACGUUUCACGGUGAUAAAAAUGUAAUUGUUUUGAGAAAUAAGUAUGAGAAUAUAUGCUCUUAACGUUUUAUUGGUUCCCAUCUGAAAAAAAAAGAAAAAGCAGUACAUGCAUACGCACUUGUAAAUAAAUGACCAUUGGUGUAUUGAGUCGAACCAAUCAUUCGUUUGCUCUUAAAAAGAAUGGGCCAUUUUAUAAAAGAAGUGAAGUCGUGUUUUUUGAUAGAACAUUAUAUCCUUACACUGUUUUAAUAAAUACAGGAAAUGAAAAAUGAUAAAUUACACGACUCCCAUACACCGAGAUAUCUCUAUCCGAGUUCAUUCAUAAGAAUUACAAAGUCCUCUAUUAUCUAAACAAUUUAUUAACUUUCUUCUACGUCUUUCCUGGGGUUUUUUGAUGAAAAUCCCCACACUGAUUACUAUAAAUUGACAUAGUCUGUUCUUUUCUUUUAUUAUACCACGGCUGUUCGCAAUGAAACCUCAAACGCUUUUUGUUCUUGUGUCCUUGAUUGGGAUGUUACUGACUCCUCAACAAAUUGAGGGAGUUCUGGACGAUGAAGCAGUUCAGGCUAAUGCUGAUCCUAGAGCUGAAUUAAAAGAUCCCGGGAGAAGAAGUAAUGGUAUUUUUGGAGUUGGUGGACCGAUUCGUCGGACGCGGCGACCAAGAACAUAGUGUACACCCCGGAAGCUGUAUAACGAAGAUCUUGGAGGCUGUAUAGCGAAGACCCCGGAAGCUGUAUAGUGACUUUUAAUGGCAAUAGUUAAUAUAGGAAAGUUCAAAUUGCCCAUCAAAUAUCCCCUUUUGUAUGCGGAACACAUUUUCGAAAAAUAAUUUACAACAACAAAGUUCUGUACCACAAAACCCCAUGAGAUCGAUGGCCAUAAAACAACCCAAUCUACAAGAUGCUUCUGACGACACAAUCUGUUUUCUGUGAAAUCUUGAUGCAGACGAAAAUCCUACAUAUGUCAUAUAAUGUAGUUGGACAUUGCGGCUUCAAAUUAACCAAUCUAUUUUCAAUUUUAAUUAGAUUCUGGUUUUCUUUCAUAUAUAACUAUGUCGUCACAUUUUAUUGUCUGUAUUCCAAUCAAAAUCUUUUUAGCAAUAAAAUUGGUCUAAUAUUUGUGA
Magallana angulata is the source of this 2487-nucleotide long non-coding RNA. RefSeq lists it as uncharacterized. The transcript is spliced from 2 exons. NCBI's taxonomy places the organism in Eukaryota, Metazoa, Mollusca, Bivalvia, Ostreida, Ostreidae. The record is from RefSeq and is a predicted model, not a curated record.